This is a non-coding RNA of Salvelinus fontinalis (brook trout), 82 nucleotides long. The record is from the annotation of a RefSeq genome assembly. NCBI's taxonomy places the organism in Eukaryota, Metazoa, Chordata, Actinopteri, Salmoniformes, Salmonidae.
GGUAGUGUGGCCCAGCGGUCUAAAGCGCUGGAUUAAGACUCCAGUCUCUACGGAGGCGUGGGUUCAUAUCCCACCACUGCCA